CAACACAGAAUCCACAGAAGGAAGACAAUGGAGCUACAAGGUGGGAGAAGCUGCCUGGGUCUCUAAAUCACUGUAAGAUAAUCAACUGCUUGGGAAAACCUAUUUGGAUUUUAAGUGAACAUGAAAUAAACUACUAGCCUGCUCUCAAUUGACUGGGGAUGCCAUUCAAGAGGAGAUGAAGAAGUCUGUCUUCUGAAUUCUGACCUGAUGUCUACAUACUUAACAAUCUGGCAGGAUAUAAUAUUCUCGGGUCACACCUUCUUUCAGAACUUGCAGACACUGCAUUAUUUCUUUUGGCACUGAAUUCAACUGGGAGAAGUCUGAGGCCAGCCAAAUGUUUAACCAUUUGAAAGUACUUCUUUUUUGCCUAGGUUUUCCAUUUUCUUUUUAGGAACUCUCUUUUUUAAUCACUAAACUUUUAUUUAAAUACUAUAUAUCUUAGUGUUAUCAUUCUCUGUCAAAUUUUCCUAGAAGAUGGUGUGCUUUUUCCAUACAUUACUUAAGGGACUAUAUCUCAUUUCCAAAAGGAAAUUGUUUCAGGCCUUGACUUGAUCCCUCAGUGUGAUAAGUUAAUACAAAAACUUGGAAUCCCAUUUUCAUCACAGAACAUCAAUCUCAGUUCAUUCUCCUUGUUUCAAAAAAGAACUAUUUUCACUCACCAAAAGUCCUAAAGAAGAAAAACCAGGUAUAUCUAAUCAAUUCCUAUCACUCUAAUGUGGGGAUUAUUAAGGGAGAAAUCUAGGAAUUCCGUUGGCUUUGUAGGGAUAGAAAUGAGGGAAGGAUACUUACGAAGUCACUCCAGAAUCUCUGGGUUCUUUUUUUUCGCUGUCAAUAUUUUGCAUGCAUUGCUUUAUGUGAUGCUGCUUUCCUUGUCUGGUUACAUUUGAAUUUGUUGUUUUGGAGGGGGAGAGUCUCUACUUUACUAUAUAAUGUUUAUUUCAUUAGGUUGGGACAAGGGAUAUUCUUUCAUCUCUCUUUAUCAACUUGAUCUGGAAGUCCACAAUUCCAAAUGUUUAUUCUUUGUAAAAUGUUUGUGGUUUUGGUUUUCUUUUUUUUGAGGGGGGAGGGGGCUGGGUGUGGUGAUAUGGUUUGAAGGCUUCUUCUCCACCUUCAAUCCAGAAGUUAAAUAAUUUCCCACUGCCAAUUAUUGAAUAAUUCAUAUUUUAAUUAUGUUUCUAGUAUCUAAGCAUACAUAUAUAUAUAUAGAUAUACACGUAUAUCAGGAUGUGUUUCUGUGCUUUCUAUUCUACACCCCUUCUUUAAGUUUAUUCCUUGAUAUAAAGUCCACUAGACUUAUUACAAUAAAUACUCAUUAUUCUUAUUCUUCAAACUUCUAUUGACAUUUUUACUUAUUUGUUCAUCUGAGUUAGCUUUUGAAGAGUUUUUUUAACCUUUAAAUAAAAAUUAUAUUUUUUACCAGAAUGACAUGUUUACAAAUUGAUUUAUUACAAUUUUAUCUUUAUAUAAUUGAGUCUUCCCAUUAAUGUACACAGCAUAGCUCUCCAUUUACUGUAUUUUUAAUUUUUAAUGGUUUUCAGGAAGCAAUUUAUAAUUGUAUUUACAUUUCCAAUUUCCUUUGGCUAUCAUUGUAUAUAUUAUUCUGUAGUAAGAAGCAGUAGUUACUCAACUAGUAGAUAUUAUUAUACUUUCUGAUCUUCUUCAAUCUAUCAGGACAGUUGUAAUAUUAUUUCAGAUUUUAACCUACAUCUCCCCAGCAUUUUAUUUUGAGGCUAGAAUGGAGGAUAAGGUAUAGGAACUCAAUGCUAUAUGCACCAAUGUUUACACGGAAACUAUAUCAAAACACAGUUCUGCAUUAAGGGAGCAUACGAUAGGUUUGUUGGUGAUUACUAGUGAAGCAAAACAGGGCAUGUUUUGUGCUCCUGUAGUUUUAUUUUAUUUAUUAAUGACUGGAUAUUACCCUUCCCAUUUUUUAAUUGAUGGAAAAGUACUAUGUAUAUGUGGGAAAAACCGAAUGAAUGAACACAUAAAAUAUAUAGAAAAUGAUAUUACCAAGAAUUAGAAGUGGACCUCUUAUAUGUCAUUAUAAUGUACUAUAUUUUUCUUAUAAUUAUUAUAAUCUGUCCUAUAAUUUGAAAAGGCUUUCCUUAUUCAAAAGCUUCUAUUUUAUCUCAAUGAGGUAUGGGAAAGUUUGAUUCAUUUUGUUGGUUCCUUAAAAACAUCAGCUUUGUAGUUAGUGAUCCUUUCAACAGUUCGUUUUUAUUUUUCUCGUUUCUUCAUGUUAGCCUCCACCCUUACUAAUUUGUACUUCCUACUUUACUUUAUUGUACUUUAAUUAAUGUUGUAAUAUAAGUACAAAGUUCUUCUAACUUUAAUCUUUAUUUUUCAGUAAUGGAGGUAUUUAUUUCUGAUAAGAGUUUUUGCUAUGAAGUACAGAAAAUUUUAGAUAAUUUCUAAUUUUUCUUUUAUUUUCUUCUAUUCUCUAAAGGAUAUCUUCACACUGCUUCUUAAUUUCUAAGUAGGUAAGAUAUUUUUGCAUAAUUUCUUUUUUUAUUUCCAAUUUUAUCACAUUAUGGUCAGGAGGCAGUGUCCAAUAAAAUGUCUACUCUGUCUGCUUUGUUCAUUUGAUGGCCCAGGACAUGACCCGCCUUUUUUUUUUGUAUAUCUUCUUUAGCCAUGAAGUAUAUCCUCAAAAUAUGUAAGAUUGAACAUAUAUCUGUUGAGCCAAGUUUUAUGAAUCUAUUACUCAAUUUCUCUAUAUCUGUAUGUAUUAUCAAUUGGUCCCAUUCUGAGAGAGAUAUGUCAUCUCUACCAUUAUUCUAUUUUAUCAAGUUCUUUUGCAUCUCAAAUGAAUUUUGCUUUAUAUUUUUGACAUCGCUAUUUGAUGUUUUCAGGUUUAUGAACUUAACACCAUCUACUUAAAUUAUUCCUUUCAAAAUACAGAAUGUCCUUCCACAUUCUCUUUUGAACUUUUAACCUCAGGUUCAACUCAUUGUGUUUUGGGCUUUCAAAUCCCAUCUGAUUUUUACAGUGAUAAUAAAUUUCUGCUUUACUUUUGUUUGCUAUACGUUUCUUUACUCAGUUUUUUUUUUAAACAUAAUAAAUAUUCAUGUAACCACCAACCAACUUAGUAAGUAUUUCUGGAUACCUGUCCAUCAUCCCAUUCUUCACACUCUACUUCGGGAUAACCAAUAAUCAUAAAUUUUGUUUUUUAUUCCCAUGUACGUCUUUAUACUUUUAAUUAGAUGAAUAUCUAUUCAUACGCAAUUUACAAUUUUGUCUUCACGUAUUUUUGAAAUUGAAAUAAAUUGCAUCAUUAUUAUGUAUCCUUCUGCAACUUGCUUUACUGCUUUAUAUUUGAUUUGUGCAAGGUAACUUUACUUCAUUCAUUUUCAGUUCUGAAUAUAUCCAACUGUAUGAAUAUACCUUAGUUUAUUUAUCUGUUCUCCUAUUCUAUGUUGUUUCCAACUUUUAAUAUUAGCAAUGUUAUAUUGAACACUGUUCACACACAUGAGACUUUCUCUAUGUCAAGGAGAGAGUUCCUUAGUCAUAGAGUAUAAGUAUAUUUAUCUUUUUCAAAAAUUGUAAAUUGUUCUUCAAUGUGAUUGUACCAGUAUAUAAUUCCACCAGUGACUGGAGAGUUACCACUGAUGUACAUCCUUUGUCAACACUUGAUACUGUCAACAGUUUUAAAAUUUACCAUCCUGAUAAGCAUUAAAUGCAUGUUUUAUUUGCAUUUUCUUGAUUACUACUGAAGUUGAGUAUAUCACCCAUAUGUUUACUGCUAACUCAAGUUUCCUCUUCAGUGAAUUGUCUGUUUAUAUUCUUCAUGAUCCUAACAGAUUUUCUUUUUCUAAUUUAUUUGCACAAUUUUUUUCGUAUGUUUAGGAUACAAAUCCACUGUAUCCUAGAUAAACUGCAAAUAUCUUCUUUCACUUUGUGCCUUGUCUUUUCACUUUUUAUGGUAUCUUUUAAAGUACUUUUUAUUCUAAUGGUCAAAUUUAUCUUUUUGCUGUAUGAUUUAUGUGUAUUUAUUGUUUUAGAAAUCCUUCCUUAAUCCAAGGUGAUAAUACUAUUAUCCUGCACUUCCAAAGAGUUUUAAAUUUUGUUUUUCACAUUUUUACUAGCUUUACUGAACUAUAAUACACAUACCACAAAAUUCACACAUUUUGCAAAUGAACAAUUCAUUUAAAAAUUAUAUAGAGUCAUGCCACUAUCAUUACAAUAUAGUUAUAGGUCAUUUUUAUCAUCCUCAACAGUUCCCUGUGCCCACUGGCAGUUAAUUCCCACUCCCAUUGCUAGCCCCAUUUAACCACUUAUUUGCAUUCUGGACAUUUCAUAUAAACAGAAGCAUAUAGUAUAUAGUUUUUGCAUCUGGCUUCUUUCACUUAGCAUAAUAGUUUUAGGACUCAUUAUGUCAUAGCAUGCAUCAGUAGUUUGUUCCCUUUUAAUUGCACAAUAGUAUUCCAUUGUAUAGACAUAAAACAUUUUGUUUGUCCAUUCAUCAGCUGAUUGACUUUUGGAUUGUUUCUAGUUUGGAGCUACUAUUAAUAAUAGUACUGGCUGGGCACAGUGGCUCACGCCUGUAAUCCCAGCACUUUGGGAGGCUGGGGUGGGCAGAUCAUCUGAGGUCAGGAGUUUGAGACCAGCCUGACCAACAUAGUGAAACCCCAUCUCCACUAAAUAUACAAAAAAAUUAGCUGGGCAUGGUGGCACGCACCUGUAGUCCUGGCUACGUGGGAGGCUUAGGCAGAAGAAUCGCUUGAACAUGGGAAGCAGAGGUUUCAGUGAGCGGAGAUCGUGCCACUAUACUCCAGCCUGGGUAAUAGAGUGAGACUCCAUCUCAAAAUAAUAAUAAUAGUAAUAAUAGUACUAAGAACAUUCAUGCGAAGUCUGGCUAUGAACAUGCUAUCACUUCUUUUGGAUACAUUCCUAAGUAUGGUAAUACUUUUUAAGAAAUUAGGAAAUCCUUUUGGAACAUGGCUGCAGGAUUCUACAUUCCAUCAGCAAUGCAUAAGCAUUCAGUAAGUAGUCUAUGCUGUGGUUUUGUUUUCGUUCAGUUCUAACUAACGUCUAAUGUUCUUUAUGAUUUCUUUUUUGACUCAGGGAUUAGUUACGUUCUUUACUUCCAAAUACCUUGCAAUUUCUCAAACCUCUUUCAUUCAAAUUUAAUUCUGUGUGGUCAGAUAAUACACUCUGUUUGAUUUAUUAGUUUUUAAAUUUACUGAGACUUGUUUUAUAUUUUACACCCCAACUCAUAAUACCUUUUGGAGAAUGCUGCAUAUGCACUUGAAAACAAUUUUGCUAGCUUUAAGUGGAGUGUUUCAUAAAUGCCAAAAUAUUACCCAAUAGGAUGUCAAACAGGGGUGGUGAAAGCAGGCUUUUGUUAAUUGUUAGUUUUUCAAAGGGGAUGCUUCUAACAUUUCAUUACUAAAUAGGACUGUGGAAAGUUUUCAGUAGACAUAUGUUACCAGAUUGAAUAAAUUAUUUUCUAUUUGUGGUUUGCUAAAAAUUUUUAUGACAAAUGAUACUGAAUUUUAUGAAAAUUUUUUGCACACAUCAUAAUUAUAUAGCUAUUCUCCUUUGUUAAUAAAUAGAUGAAAUGUUGUCCUGAUGUUAAACCACCUUUACAUUCUAUGACUACCCUCAAUUUGGUUAUGCUGUAUACUUUUAAAAAAGUAACUGAUAGACUCAUGUUCAUAGGGGAGAUUGACCAUAAAUUUCCCUUAUAAUUGGAUAAUCCAUAUCCAAUUUUGGUAUCAUGGUUGUAUGAAUUAUAUUAGGUGAAAUAGUGGCCGAUUCCUUCUUUAGCUAGUCAUGGAAAAGUAUUUUAUAAGUGAAUAAUACGGCUUUUUGGCCUUGCCGUUACUCUGUUUAAUAGUCUUGCUUUCUGUUUCAUUCACUUCUGCCCUUUACUAUUUCUUUUGCCUUCUUAGGCUGACAAUUAAUGAGGUAAGCAUAACCGAGAACCUAGAAAAAUGAAAACCUAAGUACCUUUCUGCUUUUAAUAUAAAUAUUCACAACUAUGAAUUUUCUCUAGUAUCAUUUAGACCAAAUCUCACAAGUGUAAAUAUACAUAAUUUUAAAUAUUUUUACUGCAUUUUAUAAUUUGUAUAAUGAAUAACUUCUUGUUAUAGUUAUUUAGAAGAUAUAUAUAUUUCUAUUUUCUAAGUUUAAUUUUUGUCAUUGAUUUCUUGUUUAAUUGCACUGUUUGCAGAGAAAGUCAUCUGUAUGACAAUUUGUUUAAAUUUCUUGAGCCUACUUUAUGGUCUCAUUUAAAUAAUUUCUAUAGUUUUGUGUGUUUGAAAAGAACGUGUAUGACACUCAAGCCAAUGGAUUUUUUUUUUCAAAUUAUACUUUUGAGAUUUUUUGUAAUUGAUCUUCUAAGGAAAAAAAUAUGUUAAAAUUUGUAAAAUACUCUUCCAAAUUUAGUCAAUAAUAGAUUUCUACGACUCACCUACACUAAGUGUAUACGCAUUUGAAACUUUUACAUUCCUAGUGAAUUACACCUUUUUCAUAACAUGGUGGCCCCCUUCAUCCUCAUUAAAUUUUUUGCCUUAAAGUUUAUUUUUAUAUAUUUAAAUAAUGCAAUAACAGCUUUUAUCAUUUAAUUUUUAGAAUAAGUAAUACACUUACCUAGUUAAAAAUAUAUGACAUAAAAAAAUACAUAGAGAUUUUACACCCAACUCAUCCUUUACAUUUCCACAUCACUCACAGCUCCCCCAUACAAGUGAACACUUUAUAAUUUCUCAUUUCCCUACCACUUUACCCUUCUCUUUUAAAUGCACUUUAUUUUUAGAGCAGUUUUAGGUUCUCAGUAAAAUUGAGCAGAAUGUAGGGAGUCCCAUAUGUCCCUACCCCUACAUAUACACAGCUUUCCCCACUGUCAACAUCCCUCACCAGAGUGGUACAUUUGUUAUAACUGCCUAUUAACUUUUUAAAUGCAAAUAAAAAUAUAUCAUUUGUUCCAUUCCUUUAACAGACAGCAUUUUUUAAAAGUAAAUCAUCACUCUAUUCAUCAGAGAUGGCACCUUUAUUAGCACUAAAAUCACUAAGUAUUUGGGUCAAUCUAUGGACUGCACUUUGCUGUUUAUUCACAAAUAUGUACUAUAUUGUUUUCUUUACUAAAAUAUUAUAUUUCUUUUAAUAUUAUAUGGCUAACUUCCCUUUGUUGUUCUCCUUGUCCUUGUUGGGUUCUGGAGUUUCACUUUGUGGUAAGAUUUCAUACUAAUUUUCCCUGAUUAGAAUUCAUUUUACUUCCAAAAUCUGAGAAAUCAGGUCUUUCAUCAAUUUUGUAAAACUUUAGUAAUUUACUUUGAAUAUUGCCUCUUCCUCAUUCUCUCUUCCCCUUUUCUAUAACUCUUAUUAGCCAUAUUUGAAACCUUUCCUUUUUUCCCCCUCUCUUAAUGUCAUGGUUGUAAUCUUGCUUAUUGGUGUUGAUUUCUAGGUAAUUUCUUCAGUUCUAUCCCUCAGUUCACCAAUUCUUUGUGAAGCUUUGUCUAAUCUGUUUAAUGUUUCCAUAUAGGUGUUCAUUGUAAUUACUACCUUUACAUUUUCACAAGUUACUUAGGGUUUUUUUAAUUACAUGGUUUAUUUUUAAAUUACCUUGUUUUUAAAGUCUUGUUUCUUUUAGUAUGCUUGAUUUUCAUUUCUGGAAUGUGAGAAUUUCCCUUACUUUUGUGUGCACACCUAUAUAUUUAAUAGGAUUUUUGACAUAUUUUUAUCUAACAUUUCUAAGUUUUUAGUAGAUCAAAGUGUUUCAGGAUAUCUAGUUUUUACACUCAUCACUUUUCUAAGAACUCUUUCUUUUAUUAUACUUUAAGUUUUAGGGUACAUGUACACAACAUGCAGGUUUGUUACAUAUGUAUACAUAUGCCAUGUUGGUGUGCUGCACCCAUUAACUCAUCAUUUAACAUUAGGUAUAUCUCCUAAUGCUAUCCCUCCCCCCUCCCCCCAUGUUUAAGGAGAAACAUCACACACAUUGUUCAAUUCCUACCUAUGAGUGAGAACAUGUGGUGUUUGGUUUUGAACUCUUAAUAGCCACAUGUGAAGUCUCUUAUUUUCUAAGGCUUUAUCUUUUCUCUCACUCUCUAUUUUUCAUCCAUGCUUUCAGAUCUUCCAUUAAGUAGGGUGAAGGGUUAAAAAAUCAUCAGCUAAAAGAGCAGAAUAUUAUCAUUGGUGCUCUAUUUGAAUCUCAAAAUCUCUUUGUAUAAAUGAAAUUCAGAUGUUCCACAACAGCCUCCACCAUAGUUUUACUUCACUGGGUACACAGUUUGAUGAUUCUCUCAUCCUGCCUCUGGCUAGUAGGCCCCUUUAGAUGAGUUGCUAUUUUUCACUACCCACAGAGUCAAGGUCAAAUCUCAUGGCUGUGAAUUUUAAAUGAUGAGAUCCCUGCAGGUAGUGUCAGGCAGAGCACCCUUUAAACUUACUGACUUGUAGUAUAAAACUUAGCAAGCUAUAAGUCCUGCACCAUGAGCCCCUGGAGCCAGCAUGAUAGCACUCCAAUCUUCCUACACACCGACCCACAAGUUUAAGGUCAAAAAGAUUUAUCCCAUUUCAGAUCUUCUUGGCUUUUUGUGGACUGAAAUAGGUGAAUUAAAGUUCGUUCUGAAGUCUUAAACUUUAAGUGACUGUCUGUUUCUCCUGUAAUUUCUAGUUUAUGAAUGUUUCUAUUUUAUCAUUAUAAAGAAUUCUUCUUUAUCUAAUGGUUAUUGCUUUUUGGCUUGUAUUCUAAUUUGUCCAAUACUAAGAUCAUGGUUCCUACUUUCUGCUUUUUUUUUUUAUUAUUAUACUUUAAGUUUUAGGGUACAUGUGCACAAUGUGCAGGUUAGUUACGUAGGUAUACAUGUGCCAUGCUGGUGCGCUGCACCCACUAACUCAUCAUCUCGCAUUAGGUGUAUCUCCCAAUGCCAUCCCUCCCCCCUCCCCCCACCCCUUUCUGCUUUCUUUGUACUUAUAUAAUAAAACUUUACUCAUCCUUUUACUUUCAACCUUUCAAAACCACUUUGGUUUUUGGGUAUGUUUCUUGCAUACAGAACUGGGUUUCAUUACUGUGAUCAAUUGUGAUAUUUUUCUUACAACAGCUGAUUUAUAAAAGCUUUUACAUUUUUUUUUAAUGACAGUAAGACUGGUCUUAGAUAUUUCAUAUUUUAUGUUAUGCUUACUGAUCUUUACGGAUUUUUCAAAGUUCCAUUACAUACAUUGUUCUUAGUUUUAUCCAUACAGAUCUUAAAUAUUUUGAAAGCUUUAUAAUUUUAUAGAACUGCUUAUCUUUUUAACUGUGAAAGAAUAAGUAAUCCUCCAUCUGUUUAAAAAGGGUAUUUCCCUACUAUGAGAAAUGUAAAUGUCAGCAUAUUUACUCUUAAUUUUUUCCUUUCAUCUACAUCAUCAAAUUUUAGUCAAUAGGCCUAUAUUUGUAAUAUUUCAUCUGUCCACUUACAUGGAAAUUCUGACUCUUUGCACUUGCUCUACUUUCCUUCUUUUCUCAGUCCCCUCCCAAUUCAUUACGGUUGUGUCAUUUGUACAUUAUUAGCAUAUAUAAAAAGUAAAUUCUGGUCUGUCACAGUAAUAUGAACAUUUAUUUUAGUCUUAGUUUUAUGGUUAAAUUUAUUCAGUGCUCACCAGCGGUCCUUAGCAAUAGUUUCUCCAGUCAUUCCUAGUUGGUUGGACUUUAUUCCCCACAAUUUCCUCAAGAUUUAGUCACAGAAAUAAUUUGCUGUAUGGCUAAAAAAUAUUUGACAGCAUCCUUUUUACUUAAAGGAUAGUUUGGCUCCCACUUUCUUCAUUUAAUUAUGAUUGUUAUAGUUUUUUGUAUUGAAGGUUAUUUUAGAGUCUAAAGCCAGACUCAUUUUUCUCCUUAUUUGUGCACUAUUAUACAAAGUAUUCUUCUAUUUAAGUCCAGUAAUGCACUUUGAUGCUAACCAUUCUAGGUCAGUUUUCCCUGGCAAACAAUAUGUCCUCUAAAUAAAAAUGGCAAAAUCUUACAUCUAGACUUCACUGAAUUAUAGAUUUAAAUAUUCGUUUUGUUCCAUUAUUCUGCUUUUCUUAUUUGGGAACUCCAUUUAUGCCAUUAUUAUUAUUUUGGCUUUUUUUUUUUUUUUUGAGAUGGAGUCUCCCUCUGCUUCCCAGGCUCUGGAAUGCAAUGGCACGGUCUCAGCUCAUUGCAACCUCCACCUCCCGGGUUGAAGCAAUUCUCCUGCCUCAGCCUCCCGAGUAGCUGGGAUGACAGGCACCUGCCACCAUGCCCGGCUAAUUUUUGUAUUUUUAGUAGAGAUGGUGUUUCACCAUGUUGGCCAGGCUGGUCUCAAACUGCUGACCUCGUUGAUCUGCCCACCUCGGCCUCCCAAAGUGCUGGGAUUACAGGCAUGAGCCAGCACACCUGGCCAAUUUAUGCCAUUAUGGUAAUUUGUUUUUCUCCCAUGUCGCUCAUUUUCUUUCUAAUCCUAAACUCAUAUUUUCAUCUAUUCAUAAUAUUUGCUUUUUUUUCAGUUUUAUCUUCUGUGUAUUUCACUAUGCUACUAGCCAGAGUUUUGCCUUUGAGCAAUUUCCAAUUUUAUUUUUUUGUGUAUAGUUAUUUUCUUCCAGUAUUUGUCCAAUAUUUUAUUAACUCAUAAUUAAAUACUUCCAUGCUAUCUGUGUUAGUCCAUUCUCAUGCUGCUAUGAAGAAAUACCCAAGAUUGGCUAAUUUAUAAAGGAAAGAGGUUUAAUUGACUCACAGUUCUGCAUUGCUGGGGAGGCCUCAGGAAACUUACAAUCAUGGUGGAAGGCAAGGAGAAGUAGGCACCUUCUUCACAGGGCAGGAAGAUGGAGUGAGGGAAAGCAGGGGAAAUGCCAAAUGCUUACAAAACCAUCAGAUCUCAUGCGACUCACUAUUACAAGAACAGCAGGGGGGAACUGCCCCCAUGAUCCAAUUAUGUCUACCUGGUCCCACCCUUUACAGGUGAGGAUUACAAGUCAAGAUGAGAUUUUAGGUGGGGGGACACAACCAAACCAUAUCACUAUGUUAACAUUUCUUACAACAUUUUUUUUUUCCAGAUAUGGAUCUUGCUACAUUGCCCAGGCUGGACUCAAACUCCUGGGCUCAAGCAAUCCUCCUGCGUAAGCCUCCGGAGUAGCUGGAUUACUUCUCCAAAUUCUGUUUAGUGGUUCUUUCUCAGAAGCUAUGUAUGUAUGUAUGUAUGUAUGUAUGUAUGUAUGCAUUUGUUUAUUUUUAACUUAUGAAAUUUUUAAAUCAAAAUGCUAUGUAUUCCAUAGCAAUAUUUUUCUGCUAAGUGCUAUUCAUGUACUGGUUACUUUAACUUAUUUUUUCCAUGUUUUUUAUCUGAUUCACCUGCACUGAUGAUGUGCCAAUUCUUUUGAUGCAGUCUAAUUUACGUGGACCAUCUGUCUGCAGGACACUUCCAUGCAUAUGUGUAAAAGAAGGGACAAGGGUAACCUUUUGCUUUCACAAUCCACAAACUUUCCUUUCUCUAUAGCCACAGAGAUAGACUGCUUGCCACAAAUACAGCUCAUCUGUGUAAUUCUUUGUGAUAUAUCUUCUCCUUUUCUGAAACCAAUCUGAUUCAAAUAAAACUCUGCUAUCAGGCAUGA
Homo sapiens (human) is the source of this 11547-nucleotide long non-coding RNA. RefSeq lists it as uncharacterized. NCBI's taxonomy places the organism in Eukaryota, Metazoa, Chordata, Mammalia, Primates, Hominidae. The transcript has 2 exons. The record is from RefSeq and is a predicted model, not a curated record.